This 1482-nucleotide ribosomal RNA is filed under the name metagenome. RNAcentral describes it as "bacterial SSU rRNA". It matches the Rfam family "Bacterial small subunit ribosomal RNA". The record is from RNAcentral.
AGAGUUUGAUCCUGGCUCAGGACGAACGCUGGCGGCGUGCCUAACACAUGCAAGUCGAACGAAGCUCUGCGAUACAAGACUUCGGUCAAGUUGAACGGAUGACUUAGUGGCGGACGGGUGAGUAACGCGUGAGGAACCUGCCUUUCAGUGGGGGACAACAGUUGGAAACGACUGCUAAUACCGCAUAAUGUAUUCUGACCGCAUAAUCGGAAUACCAAAGAUUUAUUGCUGAAAGAUGGCCUCGCGUCUGAUUAGAUAGUUGGUGAGGUAACGGCCCACCAAGUCGACGAUCAGUAGCCGGACUGAGAGGUUGAACGGCCACAUUGGGACUGAGAUACGGCCCAGACUCCUACGGGAGGCAGCAGUAGGGAAUAUUGCACAAUGGGGGAAACCCUGAUGCAGCGACGCCGCGUGGAGGAAGAAGGUCUUCGGAUUGUAAACUCUUGUUGUUGAGGAAGAUAAUGACGGUACUCAACAAGGAAGUGACGGCUAACUACGUGCCAGCAGCCGCGGUAAAACGUAGGUCACAAGCGUUGUCCGGAAUUACUGGGUGUAAAGGGAGCGCAGGCGGGCGAUCAAGUUGGAAGUGAAAUCCAUGGGCUCAACCCAUGAACUGCUUUCAAAACUGGUCGUCUUGAGUAGUGCAGAGGUAGGCGGAAUUCCCGGUGUAGCGGUGGAAUGCGUAGAUAUCGGGAGGAACACCAGUGGCGAAGGCGGCCUACUGGGCACCAACUGACGCUGAGGCUCGAAAGUGUGGGUAGCAAACAGGAUUAGAUACCCUGGUAGUCCACACCGUAAACGAUGAUUACUAGGUGUUGGGAGAUUGACCCUCUCAGUGCCGCAGUUAACACAAUAAGUAAUCCACCUGGGGAGUACGACCGCAAGGUUGAAACUCAAAGGAAUUGACGGGGGCCCGCACAAGCAGUGGAGUAUGUGGUUUAAUUCGACGCAACGCGAAGAACCUUACCAAGUCUUGACAUCCCUUGACGAUGCUGGAAACAGUAUUUCUCUUCGGAGCAAGGAGACAGGUGGUGCAUGGUUGUCGUCAGCUCGUGUCGUGAGAUGUUGGGUUAAGUCCCGCAACGAGCGCAACCCUUAUGGUCAGUUACUACGCAAGAGGACUCUGGCCAGACUGCCGUUGACAAAACGGAGGAAGGUGGGGAUGACGUCAAAUCAUCAUGCCCUUUAUGACUUGGGCUACACACGUACUACAAUGGCGUUAAACAAAGAGAAGCAAGACCGCGAGGUGGAGCAAAACUCAGAAACAACGUCCCAGUUCGGACUGCAGGCUGCAACUCGCCUGCACGAAGUCGGAAUUGCUAGUAAUCGUGGAUCAGCAUGCCACGGUGAAUACGUUCCCGGGCCUUGUACACACCGCCCGUCACACCAUGAGAGCCGGGGGGACCCGAAGUCGGUAGUCUAACCGCAAGGAGGACGCCGCCGAAGGUAAAACUGGUGAUUGGGGUGAAGUCGUAACAAGGU